Ailuropoda melanoleuca (giant panda) is the source of this 1259-nucleotide long non-coding RNA. RefSeq lists it as uncharacterized. The transcript has 6 exons. Lineage: Eukaryota; Metazoa; Chordata; Mammalia; Carnivora; Ursidae. The record is from RefSeq and is a predicted model, not a curated record.
UCUGUCCAAAUAAAUUUUAAAAAUCUAAAAAAAAAAAAAAAAAAAGGGAACUUCUCUCCCUUUUAUGAUUGAAUAAUAUUCCAUUAUAUGACUACACCACAGCUUGCUAAUUCACCAGUUAAUGAACAUUUGAAUUCUUUCCUUUUUUUUUUUUUUUUAAAUUAUGAAUAAUUCCCAAACAAGGGACUUGUUUCCAGAAUAUACAGAGAAUUUUCAAGGUUUUCUAUAUAUAUUUUGGAUGCAAGUCCGUUGCAAGGUAUGUGAUUUGCAAAUAUUUAUGAUUUUGGGGGGAUGACUUUAUCUUUCUUGAAAGUAUCCUUUGAAGCUCAACUAUUCUUUAAGUUUGAAGAAGUCCAAUUGAUCUUGGCUGUCUGGGUUUUGGUAGUAUGUUCAAGAAAUCAUUGCCUAUUCCAUGGUCAUAAAGAUUUAUGCCUGUGUUUUCCAAGUAUUUUAUACCUUUCACUUUUACAUUUAGGUCUUUGGUCAGCGUUGAGUUGAUUCUUGUCUAUGGUAUGAGGAAGGCCUGCAAAUUCAGUCUUCUACGCAUGGAUACCCAGCAUUCUCGGCACCACCGGCUAAGAAGUCUAUUCUUUCUCAAUUUAACAGUCUUGGCGCUCUUAUCUAAAAUCAGUUCCCCGUAAAGAUUUGUUCUUGAAGUCUAAGGGCAUCUUCACAUCUUCCAUCUCCCUCACCUCUCACAGCAGCUCAAGACGAAUCAAUCUCCUAAACCUUGUCAUGGAGUCACGAAUGAGGGGAAGGGCUCCAGAGAUAUUAGCCCCAACAUCUCAUUUUACAGAAGAAGAUUUUGAAACAAAGGCAGAAGCAUAGAGGCGCAACCGUCAUCAUUUGUGAGGAAAGAGGUGUGGACGUGUGGUUUCUGCCCAACUUCUGUCUACAGACAGGUGAUGACAGCCAUAAACCCACUUCCUACUAUUGCUGUAGGAGAAGCAGGUGGGAUGGUUAGAGACGGAUCUUGGACCCAGGAAACAGAGAAGUUUACGCACAGAGGAGAGGGAACACCGUAGCUCUGUGUCUUUCCUGCUGGCACGGAGAUACACCGCUGAGUCCCCCAAGCCUGCCGAGCGGUCGUUGAGAGAACAGAAAGAAGUGUUGUGCCGGCGGGAUUGGAAGUUAUCCGAGGCAUCUGCUUCUUUGCUCAGAUUACCUAUAUAUCGUGUAGGAGGAGAGGAGUAUUUUAAAUUUAGAAAGAAAGUUGGAAUAAAGACAAGGGUCUAGAAUAUAAAGAGCGGAUGUGAGUA